GAUGAACGCUGGCGGCGUGCCUAAUACAUGCAAGUCGAGCGAACAGACGAGGAGCUUGCUCCUCUGACGUUAGCGGCGGACGGGUGAGUAACACGUGGAUAACCUACCUAUAAGACUGGGAUAACUUCGGGAAACCGGAGCUAAUACCGGAUAAUAUAAUGAACCGCAUGGUUCAAUAGUGAAAGACGGUUUUGCUGUCACUUAUAGAUGGAUCCGCGCCGCAUUAGCUAGUUGGUAAGGUAACGGCUUACCAAGGCGACGAUGCGUAGCCGACCUGAGAGGGUGAUCGGCCACACUGGAACUGAGACACGGUCCAGACUCCUACGGGAGGCAGCAGUAGGGAAUCUUCGGCAAUGGGCGAAAGCCUGACGGAGCAACGCCGCGUGAGUGAUGAAGGUCUUCGGAUCGUAAAGCUCUGUUAUUAGGGAAGAACAAAUGUGUAAGUAACUAUGCACGUCUUGACGGUACCUAAUCAGAAAGCCACGGCUAACUACGUG
This 497-nucleotide ribosomal RNA is filed under the name uncultured bacterium. RNAcentral's name for it is "partial 16S ribosomal RNA". It matches the Rfam family "Bacterial small subunit ribosomal RNA", at positions 28 to 507 of the family's 1533-position model. The record is from RNAcentral.